GAUGAACGCUGGCGGCGUGCCUAAUACAUGCAAGUCGAGCGAACAGAUGAGGAGCUUGCUCCUCUGACGUUAGCGGCGGACGGGUGAGUAACACGUGGAUCACCUACCUAUAAGACUGGGAUAACUUCGGGAAACCGGAGCUAAUACCGGGUAAUAUAUUGAACCGCAUGGUUCAAUAGUGAAAGACGGUUUUGCUGUCACUUAUAGAUGGAUCCGCGCCGUAUUAGCUAGUUGGUAAGGUAACGGCUUACCAAGGCAACGAUGCGUAGCCGACCUGAGAGGGUGAUCGGCCACACUGGAAGUGAGACACGGUCCAGACUCCUACGGGAGGCAGCAGUAGGGAAUCUUCCGCAAUGGGCGAAAGCCUGACGGAGCAACGCCGCGUGAGUGAUGAAGGUCUUCGGAUCGUAAAACUCUGUUAUUAGGGAAGAACAAAUGUGUAAGUAACUAUGCACGUCUUGACGGUACCUAAUCAGAAAGCCACGGCUAACUACGUG
This 497-nucleotide ribosomal RNA is filed under the name uncultured bacterium. Its description in RNAcentral is "partial 16S ribosomal RNA". It matches the Rfam family "Bacterial small subunit ribosomal RNA", at positions 28 to 507 of the family's 1533-position model. The record is from RNAcentral.